GACGACGCUGGCGGCGUGGAUUAGGCAUGCAAGUCGAACGGUAUCAUCCUUUCGGGGGUGAGAGAGUGGCGAACUGGUGAGUAACACGUAGGUUAUCUACCCUCAAGACGGGGACAACCCAGGGAAACUUGGGCUAAUACCGGAUGUGAGCAACUUUUAGUUGUUUGAAAGGUGGCGUAAGCUGUCGCUUGGGGAUGAGCCUGCGUCCUAUUAGUUAGUUGGUGAGGUAACGGCUCACCUAGGCAAUGAUAGGUAGGCGGCCUUAACGGGAGGUCGCCCACACUGGGAUUGAGAUACGGCCCAGACUCCUACGGGAGGCAGCAGUCGAGAAUAGUCUACAAUGGUCGGAAGACUGAUAGUGCGACGCCGCGUGAACGAUGAAUCCCUUCGGGGUGUAAGGUUCUUUUAUAUGUGAGCAGUGCUUCUUAUAUUAACAGUAUGGGGAGAGAGAUAUUAGCAUAUGAAUAAGCAACGGCUAACUCCGUG
Molecule: ribosomal RNA, 486 nt
Filed under: uncultured bacterium
Lineage: Bacteria
Description: bacterial SSU rRNA
Rfam family: Bacterial small subunit ribosomal RNA
Source: RNAcentral